UAUAGCUCAGUGGCACAGCAUCUGCUUGGCAAGCAGCAAGUCCUGAGUUCAAUUCCCAGUA
Molecule: transfer RNA, 61 nt
Filed under: Cavia porcellus (domestic guinea pig)
Lineage: Eukaryota; Metazoa; Chordata; Mammalia; Rodentia; Caviidae
Rfam family: tRNA
About the family: Transfer RNA (tRNA) molecules are approximately 80 nucleotides in length.
Source: Rfam by way of RNAcentral